This 253-nucleotide ribosomal RNA is filed under the name uncultured bacterium. RNAcentral describes it as "partial 16S ribosomal RNA". It matches the Rfam family "Bacterial small subunit ribosomal RNA", at positions 524 to 776 of the family's 1533-position model. The record is from RNAcentral.
GACGGGAGAUGCUAGCGUUGUUCGGAAUCACUGGGCUUAAAGCGCGUGUAGGCGGCGGGGUAAGUAUCUUGUGAAAUCCCACGGCUCAACCGUGGAAUCGCUUGGUAUACUGCCCUGCUUGAGGUAGGUAGGGGUGCCUGGAACUCUAGGUGGAGCGGUGAAAUGCGUAGAUAUCUAGAGGAACGCCCGUGGCGAAAGCGGGGCACUGGGCCUUACCUGACGCUGAGACGCGAAAGCGUGGGUAGCAAACGGG